This 451-nucleotide ribosomal RNA is filed under the name uncultured bacterium. RNAcentral's name for it is "partial 16S ribosomal RNA". It matches the Rfam family "Bacterial small subunit ribosomal RNA", at positions 354 to 796 of the family's 1533-position model. The record is from RNAcentral.
GUGGGGAAUAUUGGACAAUGGGGGGAACCCUGAUCCAGCCAUGCCGCGUGUGUGAAGAAGGCCUUUUGGUUGUAAAGCACUUUAAGCGAGGAGGAGGCUACCGAGAUUAAUACUCUUGGAUAGUGGACGUUACUCGCAGAAUAAGCACCGGCUAACUCUGUGCCAGCAGCCGCGGUAAUACAGAGGGUGCAAGCGUUAAUCGGAUUUACUGGGCGUAAAGUGCGCGUAGGUGGCCAAUUAAGUCAAAUGUGAAAUCCCCGAGCUUAACUUGGGAAUUGCAUUCGAUACUGGUUGGCUAGAGUAUGGGAGAGGAUGGUAGAAUUCCAGGUGUAGCGGUGAAAUGCGUAGAGAUCUGGAGGAAUACCGAUGGCGAAGGCAGCCAUCUGGCCUAAUACUGACACUGAGGUACGAAAGCAUGGGGAGCAAACAGGAUUAGAAACCCUGGUAGUCC